AUUAUUGAAAUAAACCUGAUGGGUUGCUGCUGGUUUGUUAAUGAACAUGUGCACAUCUAUCAUCUUUAUGUUUCCACCUGUGCACCUUUUGUAGACCUGGAGCAAUCGAGUUCUGGGUCUAUGUAAUAUAUAUAUACUCAUGUUAUAGAAUGUAAUAAGUGGGCCUUUGUGCCUAUAACACUAUACAACUUUCAGCAACGGAUCUCUUGGCUCUCGCAUCGAUGAAGAACGCAGCGAAAUGCGAUAAGUAAUGUGAAUUGCAGAAUUCAGUGAAUCAUCGAAUUUUUGAACGCACCUUGCGCUCCUUGGUAUUCCGAGGAGCAUGCCUGUUUGAGUGUCAUUAAUAUAUCAACCCUCUAGCUUUGAGUGUUGGAUGUGGGGGCUCUUUGCUGGUCUUUUAAAGAGGUCAGCUCCCCUAAAAUACAUUAGCAAAACAUUUUGUUAAUCGUUCAUUAGUGUGAUAAUUAUUUACACUAUUGACGGUUAGGCAAGUUUAGCUUCUAAUAGUCUGUUGACUUGUUUAUUAAUGUGACCUCAAAUCAGGUAGGACUACCCGCUGAACUUAAGCAUAUCAAUAAGCGGAGGAAAAGAAACUAACAAGGAUUCCCUUAGUAACUGCGAGUGAAGUGGGAAAAGCUCAAAUUUAAAAUCUGUCAGUCU
This 660-nucleotide ribosomal RNA is filed under the name uncultured Cortinarius. RNAcentral's name for it is "eukaryotic LSU rRNA". The stretch from base 187 to 340 matches the Rfam family "5.8S ribosomal RNA". The record is from RNAcentral. Lineage: Eukaryota; Fungi; Basidiomycota; Agaricomycetes; Agaricales; Cortinariaceae.